AGAAUCAACGCUGGCGGCGUGCCUAACACAUGCAAGUCGAACGAGAAAGUGGAGCAAUCCAUGAGUAAAGUGGCGACCGGGUGAGUAACACGUGACUAACCUACCUUCAAGUGGGGGAUAACCUCGGGAAACCGGGGCUAAUACCGCAUAACAUCUUUGGAGUGGAAAUUCUGGAGAUCAAAGGAGCAAUUCGCUGGAAGAGGGGGUCGCGGCUGAUUAGCUAGUUGGCGGGGUAAUGGCCCACCAAGGCUUUGAUCGGUAGCCGGCCUGAGAGGGCGCACGGCCACACUGGAACUGAAACACGGUCCAGACUCCUACGGGAGGCAGCAGUGGGGAAUUUUGCGCAAUGGGGGAAACCCUGACGCAGCAACGCCGCGUGGAGGAUGAAGUCCUUGGGACGUAAACUCCUUUCGACCGGGAAGAUGAUGACGGUACCGGUGGAAGAAGCCCCGGCUAACUUCGUGCCAGCAGCCGC
Molecule: ribosomal RNA, 475 nt
Filed under: uncultured bacterium
Lineage: Bacteria
Description: SSU rRNA
Rfam family: Bacterial small subunit ribosomal RNA
Source: RNAcentral